GGGGCAGCAUGGUCUUAGCUUGCUAAGACUGAUGGCGACCGGCGCACGGGUGAGUAACACGUAUCCAACCUGCCGUCUACUCUUGGACAGCCUUCUGAAAGGAAGAUUAAUACAAGAUGGCAUCAUGAGUCCGCAUGUUCACAUGAUUAAAGGUAUUCCGGUAGGCGAUGGGGAUGCGUUCCAUUAGAUAGUAGGCGGGGUAACGGCCCACCUAGUCUUCGAUGGAUAGGGGUUCUGAGAGGAAGGUCCCCCACAUUGGAACUGAGACACGGUCCAAACUCCUACGGGAGGCAGCAGUGAGGAAUAUUGGUCAAUGGGCGAGAGCCUGAACCAGCCAAGUAGCGUGAAGGAUGACUGCCCUAUGGGUUGUAAACUUCUUUUAUAAAGGAAUAAAGUCGGGUAUGUAUACCCGUUUGCAUGUACUUUAUGAAUAAGGAUCGGCUAACUCCGUGCCAGCAGCCGCGGUAAUACGGAGGAUCCGAGCGUUAUCCGGAUUUAUUGGGUUUAAAGGGAGCGUAGAUGGAUGUUUAAGUCAGUUGUGAAAGUUUGCGGCUCAACCGUAAAAUUGCAGUUGAUACUGGAUAUCUUGAGUGCAGUUGAGGCAGGCGGAAUUCGUGGUGUAGCGGUGAAAUGCUUAGAUAUCACGAAGAACUCCGAUUGCGAAGGCAGCCUGCUAAGCUGCAACUGACAUUGAGG
RNAcentral lists this ribosomal RNA (696 nucleotides) under uncultured Bacteroidales bacterium. RNAcentral's name for it is "bacterial SSU rRNA". It matches the Rfam family "Bacterial small subunit ribosomal RNA", at positions 66 to 751 of the family's 1533-position model. The record is from RNAcentral. Lineage: Bacteria; Pseudomonadati; Bacteroidota; Bacteroidia; Bacteroidales.